CAACAGUGGAGUCCCCCAGGGCUCAGUACUGGGGCUGGUACUCUCUAGUAUUUUUAUCAGUGAUCUGGACAAGGGGAUUGAGUUCAACCUCAGUAAGUUUGCAGAUGACACCAAGUUAGGUGCAAGUGUUGAUUUGCUUGAGGGCAGGAGGGUUCUACAGAGAGAUCUGGAUAGGAUGGAUCGAUGGGCCAAGGCCACCUGUAUGAGAUUCAACAAGGCUAAGUGCUGGGCACUUGGGGCACAACAACCACAUGCAACGCUACAGGCUGGGGGAAGAGUGGCUGGAGAGCUGCCCAGUGGAAAGGGACCUGGGUGUGUGGUCGAUAGCUGGUUGAAUAUGAGCCAGCAAUGUGCUAAGGUGGCCAAGAAGGCCAACAGCAUCCUGGCUUCUAUCAGAAACAGCAUGGCCUGCAGGACUAGGGAAGCGAUUGUCCCCCUGUACUCGGCUCUGGUGAGGCUGCACCUCAAGUACUGUGUUCAGCUUUGGGCCCCUCAUUACAAGAAGGACAUCAGGGUGCUGGAGCAUGUCCAAAGAAGAGCAACAAAACUGGUAAAGGGCCUAGAGAACAAGUCAUAUGAGGAGCAGCUGAAGGUGAUGGGGUUGUUUAGCCUAGAGAAGAGGAGGCUCAGGGGAGACCUUAUCACCCUCUACACUACCUCAAAGGAGAGUGUAGCAGGGUGGGGGAUCAGUCUCUUCUCCCAAAUAAGAAGCAAUAAGACAAGAGGAAAUGGCCUCAAGUUGCACCAGGAGAGGUUUAAGUUGGAUAUUAGGAAAAAUUUAUUCACUGAGAGAGUUGUGAGGCAUUGGAACAGGCUGCCCAGGGAAGUGGUUGAGUCACCAUCCCUGAGGUGUUUAAAGGAUGUGUAGAUGUGGUGCUUAGGGACAUGGUUUAGUGGUGGAUUUGGCAGUGAUAGGUUAACCACGGGACUCAAUGAUCUUAGAGGUCUUUUCCAACCUGAAUGAUUUUAUGAUUUGUAAAGAAAAGAUGGGCAAUGCUUGUACUACUAAGGCUGCAGCC
Molecule: long non-coding RNA, 1019 nt
Filed under: Anser brachyrhynchus (Pink-footed goose)
Lineage: Eukaryota; Metazoa; Chordata; Aves; Anseriformes; Anatidae
Description: lncRNA (ENSABRG00000007969.1)
Source: RNAcentral